AUUGAAACACCGGUUCUCAUACGAUCACAGAAGGUAAGCAAUAUAGAUCCUGGUCUGUACCUAGAUGGGUGACUGUUUGAAAUACCAGGUGCUGUAAG
RNAcentral lists this ribosomal RNA (98 nucleotides) under Acanthosepion pharaonis. The record is from RNAcentral. Lineage: Eukaryota; Metazoa; Mollusca; Cephalopoda; Sepiida; Sepiidae.